Molecule: ribosomal RNA, 232 nt
Filed under: uncultured bacterium
Lineage: Bacteria
Description: partial 16S ribosomal RNA
Rfam family: Bacterial small subunit ribosomal RNA
Source: RNAcentral
CGGGGUGAGUAACGCGUGGAUAACCUGCCUCACACUGGGGGAUAACAGUUAGAAAUGGCUGCUAAUACCGCAUAAGCGCACAGUACCGCAUGGUACGGUGUGAAAAACCCAGGUGGUGUGAGAUGGAUCCGCGUCUGAUUAGCCAGUUGGCGGGGUAACGGCCCACCAAAGCGACGAUCAGUAGCCGACCUGAGAGGGUGACCGGCCACAUUGGGACUGAGACACGGCCCAG